Molecule: long non-coding RNA, 3327 nt
Filed under: Elaeis guineensis (African oil palm)
Lineage: Eukaryota; Viridiplantae; Streptophyta; Magnoliopsida; Arecales; Arecaceae
Description: long non-coding RNA (EGUI_LNC007849)
Source: RNAcentral
CUGCAAAUUAAAUUUGACAGUCAGGAUGAUUCUCAUAUAAGAAUCAACUAUUGCAUCAUUUGUUAUUCCAUCAAGGUAUAAGAUUCAUAACAAACCCGAUAGCUCAAAAAGAGUAUAAAGUAUUGUCCCUUGGAGAUAAACUACUGCAUCUUUAGAUUUACCAUGCAGAUCCAUAUAUAUUUAAGUAUUACAUUUUUAUUGGUGAGAUUAAAUAUCAUGGGGUCCAGUACAUAUUAACAGAACAAAGUGCAGAAGGAAAGGUUGUCCAAGGAAUGAACAGAGAUGGCAAACAUAAGAUGCAAGUUGUUAGCAUGGGUUAUAACUUCUCAUGAUCACUGGUAAAUACAAAUUCAAGCUUGAAGCAAACGAAAAAUGAAUAAUUGCAAUGCAAACAGCAGGUUUUUCUUUCUCCCUUCAAUAAAGCUCCGAAGAUCCAACAAUAAACAUCAACUAAUGAGGACUGGACAUCACCAAACCAACUGGAUAAGGUAUCCUGGACGGUGCCACCAAUGCCAGGUCAUUCACAGGAUAAACAUGAACUCCCAAAAUGUUACUCUUUUCCUCCAGGUGGAUGGUCAUCUUGCUCACAAUGAAGAAGAAUAUAUCUAUUUGAAGGUGAGCGUUCCACCAUUAAAGUGUUGCUCCUAUCAGAGAGUAGUUGAUGGAUGAAAGAAAAGAAUGCCUUUCUUCCCUUUCACUAACAUUAGCAGCCCAACCUGCUCCAUCAGUUGGAUGUAAGGAGAACAGGAGGGCAGUUGAUGGAUGAAAGAAUGCCUUUCUGGGAUUUCACUAACAUAACCUACUCCAUCAGUUGGAUGUAAGGAGAAAGGAAGGCUAAGAAAAUCCCUUACCUAGUUAGAGAGACCAAAGUGAUUGAUGCCAGGUACCUUCAACAUCUCCUGCAAGAAACAAAAAAUUGAAAAAAAAAAUGAAAAAGAAAAAGAAAGCAUGGAGUAGCCCAUUUGCAACAUGGAUCAUGUGGUCCGAUGGAGAAACCAACUGCGAUAUGGGACCAGCACAAGACAGCGUCAUGGUAACAUCCUCCACAGGUUUUACCUUUCAAGGGGAAACCUAGCAGGAGCUCAAAGUUGCCUAGGGGAGAGCACGAAACAUCAUAAAAAAGAAUGCACUCAGAAAGAAAAAGCAUCUCAAAAGGAUGUGAUCUCAUGUAGUGAUGAUUGAAGACAUCAACCUAAGCCAUAUUUAUAAGUCUACGGGUGAUGAGUCCCAUCUAAAAUAAGAAAGGAUGAGGUCAAUUCCAACUCAAUUCGAACACCUGAGCAUCUGGAUGGCAAUUUUGUGUCGUCAAAAACUUUGAACAACAACCUUUUAUCAUCAGAUAACUGAAAAUACAACUACCUCUAGGAUAUUUCGACUGAAAUAUUCUGCCCUUCAAGGUCAAUGAUAGCAAAAUUUCACUGUCCAAAGUAGACAAAAAAAGGGAAAGAGGGGGAGGGGGGACUUUCAACAAACCUAUCUGGAAGUGGUACGGGAACAAGAGUUUCCUCUAAACCAAAAAAAAAGAAAAAGAAAAGGAGGAUAGGGCUCGCUUAGUUUCCAAAGUUAAUGGCCAUCUUCAAAACAAAAAUUUUAGAUUCAUAAUUUUCAUGAACUUUAAAGUUCCUUUCUCUUUUAGGCCCAUGCAUCAUUCCUUUUGAUUUUCAACAUAGCUAAAUAGGAAAAAUGACUAAGGUACAUACAGUCACUACCAUUGGGAAUCCUCUUCAAAAGACCCUCUUAGCUAUCUUUUGCAAGGUAACUAUAUUCCACUUCCCUUCCUUUGGAUUAGGUCUUUAACUAGUUGCAGGUGAAUCUCAUUAAUAGCCAAUGUACCACACAGCUAUGAUCCCUAUUGCAGCAGCAGAUCGUGCUUGAUAGACAAAGUUCCUAGAACCCAGUCCCAUUCGGCUUUCAACUAAUUUUUGACAGGUUGACCUCUCCAAUAGUUGAUCUACCGCACGGCCAAGGCCCUGUGAAAAGGGUAGACAACGCCUAGCUCAUGAAAUGCCCCAAAAAUUCUUUACCUCCUAAUACAUUAGCCUCACAUAAUCCCUACAAACAAAGUUUUGAACUUAAUUUUGAGUUGGCUCCUAUGUGCCUAAUAGACAAAGUUCCCCGAACCCAAUCCUAUUCAACUUUGAACUAAUUUUUGAUAGGUUGACCUCUCCAAUAGUUGAUGUAUCAUACGGCCAAGGCCCUAUUAAACAAGUAGACAACACCUAGCUCAUGACAUGCCCCAAAUAUUCUUUACCUCCAAAUGAGUUAACCAUGCAUAACCCCUACAAACAAGGUUUUGAACUUAAUUCUGAACUGGCUCUUGUAUACAAUGCAUAGGUUGCCACUUCACAAGCCCCAAAGAAGGGGUCAGCAAAGCCAAAUAAAAGUGUUUUUAAAGGUCUUGGCUAGCACUUUGUCCCAUAAUACUAGUCAAGGAGGGGCAGCUUUAGACACCCCACUUUGGCACCUUACGCAUUCUAGGAAGAUGUUAAACUAUGUGAUGCCCCUAACCCUAAGAUCACCACCCCUAUACUACCAAACUUGUGAUAAUCAUGAAUAAAACAUUAUUCAUUCAACAAUAAUAAAGCAGAGGAAAUAGCUUAUUGAGAUAGCAACCAAAUAAUAAACAGAAUCUAGUAUAGUAUAUCAAGAUGUUUAUAUUCCUUUUUUUCAUUUGUGAUCCAGAAGUAUAUUGCUGCAGCAGAAAUAAAGAGACUAUGCAGAGCGAUUCCGUGUAUCUGCAUCCAGUACAAUGAAACAACAAUAAUGCCUAAUAAGGAGACCUUUUCUCUUUAGAAUAUAGUCGCCUAUUGAUUAGCAAAUCAAAAGCAUUGUAAUUAGCAAAAGACAGAUAGAAAAAAGCAUAAAAGGCCAAUUUUGCAGAAUAGGGAUUUCCAGCAGCAACAAGAGUAUAAUAUGCACCGCCUUAAGCCCUUCUAUUGCUUUAUAACUAUCACAGAUUAAUUAAAUCUAAUUUCUAGUAAAAAGGUUCCUUACUUUGUGUAGAUGUAGUAAAAAAGAUGUAGCGAGCAUAGCAAGAGUGACUGCCAAAAAUAUUUUUAUGGAAAAUUAACCCUCAUUGAGUAGAGAGAUCAAAUAAGCAACUGUUACAUUCAAGUUAUGAAAAACAUGCUAUAAAUGAAAAUAUUGAACUAAAAGAAGUAAGCAAAAUGCAGUCCAAUAUGAAAUUAUGUGGAGAUGAGUUUAUCAAAAUCCUAGCCAAAAGAUUCCCAACUAUUUCAUCAUCAAGCACUCUACUACAAAGAUAAAUGGAGAUAUCUCUAACAAAGUAGAAGGCAAUCCUAACCAUAAUAUGAUCCCACUUGCAAG